This is a small nuclear RNA of Hucho hucho (huchen), 164 nucleotides long. Its record names the gene U1. It matches the Rfam family "U1 spliceosomal RNA". Rfam says of the family: U1 is a small nuclear RNA (snRNA) component of the spliceosome (involved in pre-mRNA splicing). Its 5' end forms complementary base pairs with the 5' splice junction, thus defining the 5' donor site of an intron. There are significant differences in sequence and secondary structure between metazoan and yeast U1 snRNAs, the latter being much longer (568 nucleotides as compared to 164 nucleotides in human). The record is from Ensembl. NCBI's taxonomy places the organism in Eukaryota, Metazoa, Chordata, Actinopteri, Salmoniformes, Salmonidae.
AUACUUACCUGGCAAGGGAGAUACUGUGAUCAAGAAGGUGGUUCACCCAGUGUGAGUCUCAGCCAUUGCACUCCGGCUGUGCUGACCCAUGCGAAUUUCCCAAAUGUAGAAAUCUCGAUUGCGCAAUUUAGGGUAGUGGGGGACUGCGUUCGCGCUGUCCCCUG